Odocoileus virginianus texanus is the source of this 657-nucleotide non-coding RNA. The record is from RefSeq and is a predicted model, not a curated record. Lineage: Eukaryota; Metazoa; Chordata; Mammalia; Artiodactyla; Cervidae.
ACAACAGACACCACCUCCUGCUGAAGUGAUGAUUCCCCAAGCCACCUUACUUCCUCGCCUCCCCUUGAGGUCCAGUUGUCCAGCUCUUCCUUAAAUGCCAUGAGGUAUCCCAGUAUCUCUCCAGUCAAUUCCAUCAUUGGCCUCAGCUAACAUUUUUAACAAAUACAUCCUAGUAGUCUUAUCUGCAGGUAGCCUCAGAAGAAAAUUAAUAGAGCUGGGUCCCAAAGAAAGCUGCUUUUGUAUUGUAUUACUAGUCAACCCACACACUGCAGCAUGACCUGAACUAGGAAACAGUAAAUAAGUGGCUUAAAAAGGUGGCAGCUUCAAUCAAAUACACCAAGUUGAAGACUCAGGAAAGCAACACCAUUUCUGAAGUGGUAGUCAUCUGUAUUAACUUGCUUGGAGAUGUCCUAAGACAAUGUAUCUUCAAUGUCAAUAGAAACAAGUGAUAUAAAAUCAGAGUGCCUUUCUGUUCGUCAUUAACCUGGACAAGCCACACUCCCCCCGGAACUUUACCAAUCUCUGGGCUCAGAUUAUCCAUUUAUAGUGCUAGCACCCAAGACAUCAACCAUUUGUUGUUACUGAGAAAGGAAAUUGGUUGCAUGGAGAAUUAGGUAAGCCUGUAUUUCUUCCAACUGGUCACCCACUCAAUCUAUC